Molecule: ribosomal RNA, 3010 nt
Filed under: Rhodococcus marinonascens NBRC 14363
Lineage: Bacteria; Bacillati; Actinomycetota; Actinomycetes; Mycobacteriales; Nocardiaceae
Description: bacterial LSU rRNA
Rfam family: Bacterial large subunit ribosomal RNA
Source: RNAcentral
AGAGCGUACGGUGGAUGCCUUGGCACCAGGAGCCGAUGAAGGACGUAGGAGGCUGCGAUAAGCCUCGGGGAGCUGUCAACCGAGCUGAGAUCCGAGGAUGUCCGAAUGGGGAAACCCAGCACGAGUGAUGUCGUGUUACCCGCACCUGAAUAUAUAGGGUGUGUGGAGGGAACGUGGGGAAGUGAAACAUCUCAGUACCCACAGGAAGAGAAAACAAUAGUGAUUCCGUGAGUAGUGGCGAGCGAAAGCGGAAGAGGCUAAACCAUGAAUGUGUGAUAGCCGGCAGGUGUUGCAUUUGUGGGGUUGUGGGGUUCAUCAGUGUCGAUACUGCCGUGUUGGCCGACAGUAAGAAAUCGUUGUGUUAGUGGAAGUGGUCUGGAACGGCCUGUCGUAGAGGGUGAGAGUCCCGUACACGAAAACAUGACGACUGUUGUGAUGGAAACCCAAGUAGCACCGGGCCCGUGAAAUCCGGUGUGAAUCUGUCGGGACCACCCGAUAAGCCUGAAUACUCCCUGGUGACCGAUAGCGGACUAGUACCGUGAGGGAAAGGUGAAAAGUACCCCGGGAGGGGAGUGAAAUAGUACCUGAAACCGUGCGCUUACAAUCCGUCAGAGCCUUCGAACGACUUGUCGUUGGGGGUGAUGGCGUGCCUUUUGAAGAAUGAGCCUGCGAGUUAGUGGCAUGUCGCGAGGUUAACCCGUGUGGGGUAGCCGUAGCGAAAGCGAGUCUGAAUAGGGCGACGCAGUGGCAUGUUCUAGACCCGAAGCGGAGUGAUCUACCCAUGGCCAGGUUGAAGCGACGGUAAGACGUCGUGGAGGACCGAACCCACUUAGGUUGAAAACUGAGGGGAUGAGUUGUGGGUAGGGGUGAAAGGCCAAUCAAACUCCGUGAUAGCUGGUUCUCCCCGAAAUGCAUUUAGGUGCAGCGUCGCGUGUUUCUCACCGGAGGUAGAGCUACUGGAUGGUCUAGGGGGCCUACAAGCUUACCGAAAUCAGCCAAACUCCGAAUGCCGGUGAGUGAGAGCGCGGCAGUGAGACUGCGGGCGAUAAGGUUCGUAGUCGAGAGGGAAACAGCCCAGAUCGCCAGCUAAGGUCCCUAAGCGUGUACUAAGUGGAAAAGGAUGUGGGGUCGCGAAGACAACCAGGAGGUUGGCUUAGAAGCAGCCACCCUUGAAAGAGUGCGUAAUAGCUCACUGGUCAAGUGAUCCUGCGCCGACAAUGUAGCGGGGCUCAAGUACACCACCGAAGCUGCGGCAUUCACACAAUGCACCCCCUUCACUCUGCGGAGUGUUGGGCAGUGGUGUGGAUGGGUAGGGGAGCGUCGUGUGGCCAGGGAAGCGGCGGGGUGACCCAGCCGUGGAGGCCACACGAGUGAGAAUGCAGGCAUGAGUAGCGAAAGACGAGUGAGAAACUCGUCCGCCGAAUGACCAAGGGUUCCUGGGCCAGGUUAAUCCGCCCAGGGUGAGUCGGGACCUAAGACGAGGCCGACAGGCGUAGCCGAUGGACAACGGGUUGAUAUUCCCGUACCCGUGUGAACGCGCCCCUGGUGAAUCAGUGAUACUAACCAUCCUGAAGCGUCCUUACUUCCCUUCGGGGAACCUGGACGUGGAUGCAUGGGACCUGAUCUGGUAGUAGCCAAGCGAUGGGGUGACGCAGGAAGGUAGCUGAGCCAGUCAGUGGUAACACUGGUGUAAGCCUGUAGGGCGAAUGGUAGGUAAAUCCGCUGUUCAUGUGCCUGAGAGGUGAUGCAUAGCCGAAUGAGGCGAAUUCAGUGAUCCUAUGCUGCCGAGAAAAGCCUCUAGCGAGCUUUCACACGGCCCGUACCCCAAACCGACACAGGUGGUCAGGUAGAGAAUACUAAGGCGAUCGAGAUAACUAUGGUUAAGGAACUCGGCAAAAUGCCCCCGUAACUUCGGGAGAAGGGGGGCCUUGUCCGGUGAUCACUCUUGCAGUGUGAGCUGGGUGGGGCCGCAGAGACCAGUGAGAAGCGACUGUUUACUAAAAACACAGGUCCGUGCGAAGUCGUAAGACGAUGUAUACGGACUGACGCCUGCCCGGUGCUGGAAGGUUAAGAGGACCGGUUAGUUCCUUCGGGAGCGAAGCUGAGAAUUUAAGCCCCAGUAAACGGCGGUGGUAACUAUAACCAUCCUAAGGUAGCGAAAUUCCUUGUCGGGUAAGUUCCGACCUGCACGAAUGGCGUAACGACUUCUCAGCUGUCUCAACCAUAGACUCGGCGAAAUUGCAUUACGAGUAAAGAUGCUCGUUACGCGCGGCAGGACGAAAAGACCCCGGGACCUUCACUACAGCUUGGUAUUGGUGUUCGAUUCGGUUUGUGUAGGAUAGGUGGGAGACUGUGAAGUGGCCACGCCAGUGGUUGUGGAGUCGUUGUUGAAAUACCACUCUGAUCGUAUUGGACUUCUAACCUCGGACCAUGAUCUGGUUCAGGGACAGUGCCUGGUGGGUAGUUUAACUGGGGCGGUUGCCUCCCAAAAUGUAACGGAGGCGCCCAAAGGUUCCCUCAGCCUGGUUGGCAAUCAGGUGUCGAGUGCAAGUGCACAAGGGAGCUUGACUGUGAGACUGACAAGUCGAGCAGGGACGAAAGUCGGGACUAGUGAUCCGGCACCGGCAAGUGGAAGCGGUGUCGCUCAACGGAUAAAAGGUACCCCGGGGAUAACAGGCUGAUCUUCCCCAAGAGUCCAUAUCGACGGGAUGGUUUGGCACCUCGAUGUCGGCUCGUCGCAUCCUGGGGCUGGAGUAGGUCCCAAGGGUUGGGCUGUUCGCCCAUUAAAGCGGCACGCGAGCUGGGUUUAGAACGUCGUGAGACAGUUCGGUCUCUAUCCGCCGCGCGCGUUAGAAACUUGAGGAAGGCUGUCCCUAGUACGAGAGGACCGGGACGGACGAACCUCUGGUGUGCCAGUUGUUCCACCAGGAGCACCGCUGGUUAGCUACGUUCGGAAGGGAUAACCGCUGAAAGCAUCUAAGCGGGAAGCCUGUUCCAAGAUGAGGUUUCU